UACGUAGGUCCCGAGCGUUGUCCGGAUUUAUUGGGCGUAAAGCGAGCGCAGGCGGUUAGAUAAGUCUGAAGUUAAAGGCUGUGGCUUAACCAUAGUACGCUUUGGAAACUGUUUAACUUGAGUGCAAGAGGGGAGAGUGGAAUUCCAUGUGUAGCGGUGAAAUGCGUAGAUAUAUGGAGGAACACCGGUGGCGAAAGCGGCUCUCUGGCUUGUAACUGACGCUGAGGCUCGAAAGCGUGGGGAGCAAACAGGAUUAGAUACCC
RNAcentral lists this ribosomal RNA (263 nucleotides) under uncultured bacterium. RNAcentral describes it as "partial 16S ribosomal RNA". It matches the Rfam family "Bacterial small subunit ribosomal RNA", at positions 524 to 787 of the family's 1533-position model. The record is from RNAcentral.